AAUUCGAAGCAACGCGAAGAACUUACCAGGCCUUGACAUGCAGAGAACUUUCCAGAGAUGGAUUGGUGCCUUCGGGAACUCUGACACAGGUGCUGCAUGGCUGUCGUCAGCUCGUGUCGUGAGAUGUUGGGUUAAGUCCCGUAACGAGCGCAACCCUUGUCCUUAGUUACCAGCACGUUAUGGUGGGCACUCUAAGGAGACUGCCGGUGACAAACCGGAGGAAGGUGGGGGAUGACGUCAAGUCAUCAUGGCCCUUACGGCCUGGGCUACACACGUGCUACAAUGGUCGGUACAAAGGGUUGCCAAGCCGCGAGGUGGAGCUAAUCCCAUAAAACCGAUCGUAGUCCGGAUCGCAGUCUGCAACUCGACUGCGUGAAGUCGGAAUCGCUAGUAAUCGUGAAUCAGAAUGUCACGGUGAAUACGUUCCCGGGCCUU
This 435-nucleotide ribosomal RNA is filed under the name uncultured Pseudomonas sp. RNAcentral's name for it is "bacterial SSU rRNA". It matches the Rfam family "Bacterial small subunit ribosomal RNA", at positions 948 to 1382 of the family's 1533-position model. The record is from RNAcentral. Lineage: Bacteria; Pseudomonadati; Pseudomonadota; Gammaproteobacteria; Pseudomonadales; Pseudomonadaceae.